GGAAUCUUCCACAAUGGACGAAAGUCUGAUGGAGCAACGCCGCGUGAGUGAAGAAGGGUUUCGGCUCGUAAAACUCUGUUGUUAAAGAAGAACAUAUCUGAGAGUAACUGUUCAGGUAUUGACGGUAUUUAACCAGAAAGCCACGGCUAACUACGUGCAAG
Molecule: ribosomal RNA, 161 nt
Filed under: uncultured bacterium
Lineage: Bacteria
Description: partial 16S rRNA
Rfam family: Bacterial small subunit ribosomal RNA
Source: RNAcentral